Molecule: long non-coding RNA, 1014 nt
Filed under: Olea europaea subsp. europaea
Lineage: Eukaryota; Viridiplantae; Streptophyta; Magnoliopsida; Lamiales; Oleaceae
Source: RNAcentral
UACACCUAAAACCAAAAACUUUUCCUUCUUUUUAACCAUACAUUCUCCAAAAAAAUUUACUAUUCCUCUCAUUAUAACAUAGAAUAAUGGGGCCAAAUGAGUGCUCAAUCAACUUGUCGCUUACGUAUGACACUGGUCGAUCUUAUUCUUUUUAGAGUGCGAUAACACAACUUCACGUUAAACAUCCUUAACCAUAAAUAUCCUAAAUCAUAUCGAUUCCAACUUAUUUAAUCUCUAAAAUAGAAGUAAAAAACAGAAUUUUUACUUAUCAAUCCCAACUUAUUUAGUCUAUUAUUAUUCAUAUUCAGAUUCCUCAAAUUGCAAAUACUUAUGAAUUCCACUGGGACACUGUCAGUCAAAUUGUUAUCACUCAUAUCAAACAAUUCCAGCCCAUAAGCCCUGCCUAAACUCGUGGGAACUGAACCAGUAAAUCAAUUCCACCAAGAAACAGAAUUUUUAAGUUCUCCAUAUCCCAUAAAAAUUUUGGAACCUAACUAGAAAAUUGAUUACUUUGAGAUUAUAACACUAUUAAAACUUACAUUUCUUCAGUCACAGAAAAUUCACCUAAGAUUGAAUUAUUCCACACUAUGAAUUCCUUCAAAUUCCCAGGAUUCUCCGGCAAAUAACUGGAAAUAAAGCCUUGUCCAUCAAUAAAAUCCAAAAAUCCAUUCUACUCAACAUCAUUAUUAUCGCCCGUUAGAGAGUUAUGCUUUGUGCAGCGGGAUUUAUGGAUAGGCAGUGCAACUGCAGAGGGUGUAGCCGACGAUGACGCUGUUGGCAAUUGGUGUUACAAGGGUGGAGCUGGCAAUAGUUAUGAAUGGCGAUUGAAGAGAGAUUUUAUAGAUAGAGCGGAAGUCUUCAUAUUGCCUUGAGAAGUUAAAAGGCCCAUAUACCCAUAUAAUUUUCCACUUUUCCUAUUUUGAAAAUAUUACCAAGGAGGAUGGGGGCUUCAGAGCCACAUGUUGAUGAUCAUUAUUACUAGAGAUGAAUAGCAUUGCACAAUGGAAUAAAUCA